This 256-nucleotide ribosomal RNA is filed under the name uncultured bacterium. RNAcentral's name for it is "partial 16S ribosomal RNA". It matches the Rfam family "Bacterial small subunit ribosomal RNA", at positions 524 to 776 of the family's 1533-position model. The record is from RNAcentral.
CACGUAGGGUGCGAGCGUUGUCCGGAAUUAUUGGGCGUAAAGAGCUCGUAGGCGGUGUGUCGCGUCGGCCGUGAAAACCUGCAGCUUAACUGUGGGCUUGCGGUCGAUACGGGCAUCACUGGAGUUCGGCAGGGGGAGACUGGAAUUCCUGGUGUAGCGGUGAAAUGCGCAGAUAUCAGGAGGAACACCGGUGGCGAAGGCGGGUCUCUGGGCCGAUGACUGACGCUGAGGAGCGAAAGCGUGGGGAGCGAACAGG